Molecule: ribosomal RNA, 540 nt
Filed under: uncultured Geobacteraceae bacterium
Lineage: Bacteria; Pseudomonadati; Thermodesulfobacteriota; Desulfuromonadia; Geobacterales; Geobacteraceae
Description: bacterial SSU rRNA
Rfam family: Bacterial small subunit ribosomal RNA
Source: RNAcentral
GAGUUUGAUCCUGGCUCAGAACGAACGCUGGCGGCGUGCCUAACACAUGCAAGUCGAACGUGAUCCAGAGCUUGCUCUGGUGAAAGUGGCGCACGGGUGAGUAACGCGUGGAUAACCUACCCUGGUAUCCGGGAUAACAUUCCGAAAGGGGUGCUAAUACCGGAUAAGCCCGCGGGCUCUUUGGAGCUUGCGGGAAAAGGUGGCCUCUAUUUAUAAGCUACUGUAUCAGGAUGGGUCCGCGUACCAUUAGCUAGUUGGCGGUGUAACGGACCACCAAGGCGACGAUGGUUAGCUGGUCUGAGAGGAUGAUCAGCCACACUGGAACUGAGACACGGUCCAGACUCCUACGGGAGGCAGCAGUGGGGAAUUUUGCGCAAUGGGGGAAACCCUGACGCAGCAACGCCGCGUGAGUGAUGAAGGCCUUUGGGUCGUAAAGCUCUGUCAGAGGGGAAGAAAUGAUAUAGUGCUAAUACCACUUUAUCUUGACGGUACCCUCAAAGGAAGCACCGGCUAACUCCGUGCCAGCAGCCGCGGUAAUAC